This 709-nucleotide ribosomal RNA is filed under the name uncultured bacterium. RNAcentral's name for it is "bacterial SSU rRNA". It matches the Rfam family "Bacterial small subunit ribosomal RNA", at positions 61 to 770 of the family's 1533-position model. The record is from RNAcentral.
GUCGAGCGGUGAAGAGGAGCUUGCUCCUUGGAUCAGUGGCGAACGGGUGAGUAACACGUGAGCAAUCUGCCCUUGACUCUGGGAUAACUGCGGGAAACUGUAGCUAAUACCGGAUAUUACCUUGGAAGGCAUCUUCUGGGGUGGAAAGAAUUUUGGUCAAGGAUGAGCUCGCGGCCUAUCAGCUAGUUGGUGAGGUAAUGGCUCACCAAGGCGACGACGGGUAGCCGGCCUGAGAGGGUGACCGGCCACACUGGGACUGAGACACGGCCCAGACUCCUACGGGAGGCAGCAGUGGGGAAUAUUGCACAAUGGGCGCAAGCCUGAUGCAGCAACGCCGCGUGAGGGACGAAGGCCUUCGGGUUGUAAACCUCUUUUAGUAGGGAAGAAGCGACUGGGUUUUCCUGGAAGUGACGGUACCUGCAGAAAAAGCACCGGCUAACUACGUGCCAGCAGCCGCGGUAAUACGUAGGGUGCAAGCGUUGUCCGGAAUUAUUGGGCGUAAAGAGCUCGUAGGCGGUUUGUCGCGUCUGCUGUGAAAACCCGAGGCUCAACCUCGGGCCUGCAGUGGGUACGGGCAGACUAGAGUGCGGUAGGGGAGAUUGGAAUUCCUGGUGUAGCGGUGGAAUGCGCAGAUAUCAGGAGGAACACCAAUGGCGAAGGCAGAUCUCUGGGCCGUAACUGACGCUGAGGAGCGAAAGCAUGGGGAGCG